Small nucleolar RNA from Rhinolophus ferrumequinum (greater horseshoe bat), 69 nucleotides. NCBI's taxonomy places the organism in Eukaryota, Metazoa, Chordata, Mammalia, Chiroptera, Rhinolophidae. The record is from Ensembl.
UAGUGAAAUGAUGGAAAUCAUCUUUUGGAACUGACCUGAAAUGGAGAGAAUAUUUGUUGCUGUUCACUU